GAGAGAGGGGGCGAGCGUUGUCCGGAGUCACUGGGCGUAAAGCGCGCGCAGGCGGCAACCUUAGUGUCGUGUGAAAGCCCCCGGCUCAACCGGGGGAGGCCAUGGCAAACUGGGUCGCUCGAGCUGCGGAGAGGCCCCUCGAAUUGCCGGUGUAGCGGUGAAAUGCGUAGAGAUCGGCAGGAAGACCAAGGGGGAAGCCAGGGGGCUGGCCGCAGGCUGACGCUGAGGCGCGACAGCGUGGGGAGCAGACCGG
This 253-nucleotide ribosomal RNA is filed under the name uncultured bacterium. Its description in RNAcentral is "partial 16S ribosomal RNA". It matches the Rfam family "Bacterial small subunit ribosomal RNA", at positions 524 to 776 of the family's 1533-position model. The record is from RNAcentral.